RNAcentral lists this ribosomal RNA (496 nucleotides) under uncultured bacterium. RNAcentral describes it as "partial 16S ribosomal RNA". It matches the Rfam family "Bacterial small subunit ribosomal RNA", at positions 29 to 507 of the family's 1533-position model. The record is from RNAcentral.
ACGAACGCUGGCGGCGUGCCUAAUACAUGCAAGUUGAGCGCUGAAGGUUGGUACUUGUACCAACUGGAUGAGCAGCGAACGGGUGAGUAACGCGUGGGGAAUCUGCCUUUGAGCGGGGGACAACAUUUGGAAACGAAUGCUAAUACCGCAUAAAAACUUUAAACACAAGUUUUAAGUUUGAAAGAUGCAAUUGCAUCACUCAAAGAUGAUCCCGCGUUGUAUUAGCUAGUUGGUGAGGUAAAGGCUCACCAAGGCGAUAAUACAUAGCCGACCUGAGAGGGUGAUCGGCCACAUUGGGACUGAGACACGGCCCAAACUCCUACGGGAGGCAGCAGUAGGGAAUCUUCGGCAAGAGACGAAAGUCUGACCGAGCAACGCCGCGUGAGUGAAGAAGGUUUUCGGAUCGUAAAACUCGGUUGGUAGAGAAGAACGUUGGUGAGAGUGGAAAGCUCAUCAAGUGACGGUAACUACCCAGAAAGGGACGGCUAACUACGUG